Molecule: ribosomal RNA, 456 nt
Filed under: uncultured bacterium
Lineage: Bacteria
Description: bacterial SSU rRNA
Rfam family: Bacterial small subunit ribosomal RNA
Source: RNAcentral
UACGGGAGGCAGCAGUGGGGAAUAUUGCACAAUGGGCGCAAGCCUGAUGCAGCCAUGCCGCGUGUAUGAAAAAGGCCUUCGGGUUGUAAAGUACUUUCAGUCGUGAGGAAGGUGUUAAGGUUAAUAACCUUAGCAAUUGACGUUAGCGACAGAAGAAGCACCGGCUAACUCCGUGCCAGCAGCCGCGGUAAUACGGAGGGUGCGAGCGUUAAUCGGAAUUACUGGGCGUAAAGGGCACGCAGGCGGUUAAUUAAGUUUGGAUGUGAAAUCCCCGGGCUUAACCUGGGAAUGGCAUUCAAGACUGGUUAGCUAGAGUCUUGUAGAGGGGGUUAGAAUUCCAUGUGUAGCGGUGAAAUGCGUAGAGAUGUGGAGGAAUACCGGUGGCGAAGGCGGCCCCUGGACAAAGACUGACGCUCAUGUGCGAAAGCGUGGGGAGCAAACCAGGGAUUAGAUACC